GGGAGGACCAAUGGGAUUACCUUAGUACGGCGAGUGAAGCGGUAAAAGCUCAAAUUUGAAAUCUGGUACUUUCAGUGCCCGAGUUGUAAUUUGUAGAAUUUGUCUUUGAUUAGGUCCUUGUCUAUGUUCCUUGGAACAGGACGUCAUAGAGGGUGAGAAUCCCGUUUGGCGAGGAUACCUUUUCUCUGUAAACUU
This 195-nucleotide ribosomal RNA is filed under the name Hanseniaspora sp. Aw. Its description in RNAcentral is "partial 28S ribosomal RNA". It matches the Rfam family "Eukaryotic large subunit ribosomal RNA", at positions 51 to 257 of the family's 3401-position model. Lineage: Eukaryota; Fungi; Ascomycota; Saccharomycetes; Saccharomycodales; Saccharomycodaceae. The record is from RNAcentral.